This 406-nucleotide ribosomal RNA is filed under the name uncultured bacterium. RNAcentral describes it as "partial 16S ribosomal RNA". It matches the Rfam family "Bacterial small subunit ribosomal RNA", at positions 30 to 526 of the family's 1533-position model. The record is from RNAcentral.
AUUGAACGCUGGCGGCAGGCCUAACACAUGCAAGUCGAGCGAGCGGCGGACGGGUGAGUAAUGUAUGGGAAACUGCCCGAUAGAGGGGGAUAACUACUGGAAACGGUAGCUAAUACCGCAUACUCUCGGCUGUGCCCAUAUGGGAUUAGCUAGUAGGUGGGGUAAAGGCUCACCUAGGCGACGAUCUCUAGCUGGUCUGAGAGGAUGACCAGCCACACUGGGACUGAGACACGGCCCAGACUCCUACGGGAGGCAGCAGUGGGGAAGAUUGCACAAUGGGCGCAAGCCUGAUGCAGCCAGGCCGCGUGUAUGAAGAAGGCCUUAGGGUUGGAAAGUACUUUCAGCGGGGAGGCGUUACCCGCAGAAGAAGCACCGGCUAACUCCGUGCCAGCAGCCGCGGUAAUAC